Molecule: ribosomal RNA, 274 nt
Filed under: uncultured bacterium
Lineage: Bacteria
Description: partial 16S ribosomal RNA
Rfam family: Bacterial small subunit ribosomal RNA
Source: RNAcentral
AUACGGGGGGUGCGAGCGUUAUUCGGAAUUACUGGGCGUAAAGAGCGCGUAGGCGGUCUUUUAAGUCAGGUGUGAAAGCCCGGGGCUCAACCCCGGAAGUGCACUUGAAACUAAGAGACUUGAGUAUGGGAGGGGGAAGUGGAAUUCCUGGUGUAGCGGUGAAAUGCGUAGAUAUCAGGAGGAGCAUCAGUGGCGAAGGCGACUUCCUGGACCAAUACUGACGCUGAGGCGCGAAGGCGUGGGGAGCAAACAGGAUUAGAAACCCUUGUAGUCC